UACGUAGGGUGCGAGCGUUAAUCGGAAUUACUGGGCGUAAAGCGUGCGCAGGCGGUUCGUUGUGUCGGCGGUGAAAGCCCCGGGCUUAACCUGGGAAUGGCCGUCGAAACUGGCGAACUGGAGUGUGGCAGAGGGGGGUGGAAUUCCGCGUGUAGCAGUGAAAUGCGUAGAGAUGCGGAGGAACACCGAUGGCGAAGGCAGCCCCCUGGGCUAACACUGACGCUCAGGCACGAAAGCGUGGGGAGCAAACAGG
Molecule: ribosomal RNA, 253 nt
Filed under: uncultured bacterium
Lineage: Bacteria
Description: partial 16S ribosomal RNA
Rfam family: Bacterial small subunit ribosomal RNA
Source: RNAcentral